This 443-nucleotide ribosomal RNA is filed under the name uncultured bacterium. RNAcentral's name for it is "partial 16S ribosomal RNA". It matches the Rfam family "Bacterial small subunit ribosomal RNA", at positions 28 to 507 of the family's 1533-position model. The record is from RNAcentral.
GAUGAACGCUGGCGGCAUGCCUAACACAUGCAAGUCGAUCGGUAAGGCUCUUCGGAGUACACGAGAGGCGGACGGCUGAGUAACGCGUAGGAACACACCCUGCAGUGAGGGAUAAGACACCGAAAGGUGUUCUAAUACCGCAUACGGUCUUCGGAUUAAAGCAUUUAUGCGCUGAAGGAGUGGCCUGCGUCAUAUUAGAUAGUUGGUGAGGUAAUGGCUCACCAAGUCGAUGAUGUGUAGCUGGUCUGAGGGGAUGAUCAGCCAGACUGGAACUGAGACACGGUCCAGACUCCUACGGGAGGCAGCAGUGAGGAAUAUUUCACAAUGAGCGAAAGCUUGAUGGAGCAAUGCCGCGUGCAGGAUGAAGGCCCUCGGGUUGUAAACUGCUUUUAUAAGAGAAGAUUAUGACGGUAACUUAUGAAUAAGGGACGGCUAACUACGUG